UACGAAGGGUGCAAGCGUUACUCGGAAUCACUGGGCUUAAAGGGCGCGUAGGUGGUUUGCCAAGUCGGGGUUGAAAUCUUUCGGCUUAACCGGAAAAGUGGCUUCGAUACUGGCAAGCUGGAGGGAGGUAGGGGCGGAUGGAACUUCCGGUGGAGCGGUGAAAUGUGUUGAUAUCGGAAGGAACGCCGGUGGCGAAAGCGAUCCGCUGGACCUCUUCUGACACUGAGGCGCGAAAGCCAGGGGAGCAAACGGG
This 253-nucleotide ribosomal RNA is filed under the name uncultured bacterium. Its description in RNAcentral is "partial 16S ribosomal RNA". It matches the Rfam family "Bacterial small subunit ribosomal RNA", at positions 524 to 776 of the family's 1533-position model. The record is from RNAcentral.